UCGGGACGCUUAUGGUUGGCAGAUUAGCGU
Molecule: non-coding RNA, 30 nt
Filed under: Homo sapiens (human)
Lineage: Eukaryota; Metazoa; Chordata; Mammalia; Primates; Hominidae
Source: RNAcentral